RNAcentral lists this ribosomal RNA (888 nucleotides) under uncultured Corynebacterium sp. RNAcentral describes it as "bacterial SSU rRNA". It matches the Rfam family "Bacterial small subunit ribosomal RNA", at positions 512 to 1398 of the family's 1533-position model. The record is from RNAcentral. Lineage: Bacteria; Bacillati; Actinomycetota; Actinomycetes; Mycobacteriales; Corynebacteriaceae.
CCGCCGCGRUAAUACGUAGGGUGCGAGCGUUGUCCGGAUUUACUGGGCGUAAAGAGCUCGUAGGUGGCUUGUCGCGUCGUCUGUGGAAGUCUGGGGCUUAACUCCGGGUGUGCAGGCGAUACGGGCUGGCUUGAGUGCUGUAGGGGAGACUGGAAUUCCUGGUGUAGCGGUGGAAUGCGCAGAUAUCAGGAGGAACACCGAUGGCGAAGGCAGGUCUCUGGGCAGCCACUGACGCUGAGGAGCGAGAGCAUGGGUAGCGAACAGGAUUAGAUACCCUGGUAGUCCAUGCUGUAAACGGUGGGCGCUAGGUGUGGGGACUUUCCAUGGUUUCCGUGYCGUAGCUAACGCGUUAAGCGCCCCGCCUGGGGAGUACGGCCGCAAGGCUAAAACUCAAAGGAAUUGACGGGGGCCCGCACAAGCGGCGGAGCAUGUGGAUUAAUUCGAUGCAACGCGAAGAACCUUACCUGGGUUUGACAUGCACUAGAUUAGGCGAGAGAUCGUCUGUCCCUUUGUGGCUGGUGUGCAGGUGGUGCAUGGUUGUCGGCAGCUCGUGUCGUGAGAUGUUGGGUUAAGUCCCGCAACGAGCGUAACCCUUGUCUUAUGUUGCCAGCACGUUGUGGUGGGGACUCGUGAGAGACUGCCGGGGUGAACUCGGAGGAAGGUGGGGAUGACGUCAAAUCAUCAUGCCCCUUAUGUCCAGGGCUUCACACAUGCUACAAUGGCCGGUACAGUAGGUUGCGAGACCGUGAGGUGGAGCUAAUCCUUUAAAGCUGGYCGUAGUUCGGAUUGGGGUCUGCAACUCGACCCCAUGAAGUCGGAGUCGCUAGUAAUCGCAGAUCAGCAACGCUGCGGUGAAUACGUUCUCCGGGCCUUGCACACACGCCCGUC